This 864-nucleotide ribosomal RNA is filed under the name uncultured archaeon. RNAcentral describes it as "bacterial SSU rRNA". It matches the Rfam family "Archaeal small subunit ribosomal RNA", at positions 1 to 873 of the family's 1478-position model. The record is from RNAcentral.
UUUCCGGUUGAUCCUGCCGGACCCGACUGCUAUCAGAGUGAGAUUAAGCCAUGCGAGUUAACGUAGCAAUACGUGGCGCACGGCUCAGUAACACGUAGUCAACAUGCCCAGAGGACGUGGAUAACCUCGGGAAACUGAGUCUAAACCGCGAUAAGUGAGGAUUUCUGGAAUGGUUCCUGACUAAAAUCUAUAUGGCCUCUGGAUUGGACUGCGGCCGAUCAGGCUGUUGGUGAGGUAAUGGCCCACCGAACCUGUAACCGGUACGGGCUCUGAGAGGAGGAGCCCGGAGAUGGGCACUGAGACAAGGGCCCAGGCCCUAUGGGGCGCAGCAGGCGCGAAACCUCUGCAAUAGGCGAAAGCCUGACAGGGUUACUCUGAGUGACUUUCGCUAAGAAAGUCUUUUGGCACCUCUAAAAAGGGUGCAGAAUAAGGGGUGGGCAAGUCUGGUGUCGGCCGCCGCGGUAAUACCAGCACCCCGAGUGGUCGGGACGAUUAUUGGGCCUAAAGCAUCCGUAGCCGGUUCUGCAAGUCCCCCGUUAAAUCCAGCUGCUCAACAGAUGGGCCGCGGAGGAUACUACAGAGCUAGGAGGCAGGAGAGGCAAGCGGUACUCAGUGGGUAGGGGUAAAAUCCGUUGAUCCAUUGAAGACCACCAGUGGCGAAGGCGGCUUGCCAGAAUGCGCUCGACGGUGAGGGAUGAAAGCGGGGGGAGCAAACCGGAUUAGAUACCCGGGUAGUCCCAGCCGUAAACGAUGCAGACUCGGUGAUGGGUUGGCUUCGCGCUAACCCAGUGCCGCAGGGAAGCCGUUAAGUCUGCCGCCUGGGUAGUACGGUCGCAAGACUGAAACUUAAAGGAAUUGGCGGGA